Molecule: long non-coding RNA, 3989 nt
Filed under: Gallus gallus (chicken)
Lineage: Eukaryota; Metazoa; Chordata; Aves; Galliformes; Phasianidae
Source: RNAcentral
GCAGCCCUUGCUCCUCCCUGAGCCGCUCAGGCUGGGCAUGGUGGAAGGAAGGAUGCCUGCUCACCCCUCCCAGCUCCCCAGCACCUGCUUUUCAGGGCCGGACACCUCCCUCCCGGCCCUGGCGCUGGGACGUGCUGCAAGGAGGUAAUGUAUGGAUGCACGGAGCUCAAGGCAGCGAGACGCCUCCCCGGACUCCUGUCUGCAUGCUCAUGAGCAAAAGGGAUAGGAGACAAAUGCGGCUCCUUCAAGGUGAAGGGCAGCGGUGGCAUGAAGGAAAAGUAGCCUGUGCUCUGUGCUGAAGCCAGGAGACCCUCCUGAAAAUUCACCGCUUUUCAUUUUUAAUGACGUCUUAGAUGGGAAUUUCAGAGCUUGUGAAAACCAGAGGCUGAUAAAUCUGCAGGGUUAAUCAAGAGAGAGCCUGCCUGCCAACGUAUCCAGGUGUCCUGAGCUGCACUAUCGCUGCUCUUCCUCACCUUUCUCCCCCUGUGCUGCAGACACAGCCCGAGCAGGGAUGGAUGGCUACGCUGCAUGGUGCAGUGCAGGCACUGCAUUAUUCACCAGGUUUCCUUGGCUCAUCUAGAGACUUGACUAUGAAUUUGUCUCCAGGUCUUCGGCUUUGCAACCCCAAUGUGCCCACCCAGCUUUGCCUGCUGCUGGCUUAACCCUGCCUGUCUGGACCCCGAUCCCACCAAGGAGGAUAAAGCAGGGAGAGCACCAAGGUGCAUUUCUGCUGUACAGCAUCCCAGAGGGAGCAGGAGCUCUUCAGAGAUGAAAAUCUGCUUUGACAUGUGAGACUCAACCCUCCAUUAAAUGAGGAGCUGAAGAAGUCACCUGUUUGGACUUUGAAGAGUCAUGGUGGCCACCUAACUAACCCUUUUGGUGGGGCAGUUUAAUCCCUGAAAGGGUACUGUGGCCCUAAGCUCCCCAGUCACAGCCCAGAAGCAGCUAAAGCAAGGAGGUGUGAUGACUGGGAUGGAUGGAUGGAUGGAUGGAUGGAUGGAUGGAUGGAUGGAUGGAUGGAUGGAUGAUUUUAACAGGUACCUUGGAGCCCAGCAUGUCACCAACUCUGCAGUCCUUUGGUUCCAGGUUUCAUCAUGAAGCCCUUCAGAGACACUGAGCUGCAUGUAGCACCCUCCCUUCCUUAUCUGCCUGUCCCAGGGGCAGCUGGAGGACACAGUUGGAGAAGGGAAGCUCCCAGCCCCACGGCUACCCGGGCACCUUGGAAGAGGGCAGGCUGUACCCAGGCGAUAAACGAUUGCAAAGCAGCCCAUUAAUUCAGGAGCAAAGAUACAAAGAACAGCCCACCAGAGCUUCAAACUUCACCAUUUUGCUGUACCAAACCUCCCUUGAAAUGCUAAUUAAAACGAGCUUGGGGAGAGGAGCCUGCUAACAGGAUCACAGCCUCUCUUGCAUCGAGCAAUAGACGUGUAGUAGGCAUCCAUGUUUCCCCGUACGCUUAUUUUCCAAGCUGAGUUGACUGUAAAUGUUGCGGUAAUGUGAAACCCACAGAGGGAGCGGGAUGCAAACACAAAGCAGAAGGAGACGCGAGGCCUAGUCACGGAGCUGCAAUAGAAAAAUACAUGGCAGCCUUCGGCAUAUAAAUAAAUAACUGCCCGAAACGAGGGCUAAUUAACUUGCAAUAAACCGACUUAACCACUUAGGGGCAGCGUUAACACGGAGUUAACAUGCAAAACAAACCUGUGUGUUCUCACCUGGUUAAUUGAAUAUGCGCCCUGAAUAUUCAUGGUGUAUCAAAUAGCGAUACGUCCACGCACUGAGUGAUGCGGUCUGUCAAAGCCGGGGACGUGAGAUAAUGGGGGUAACUCAGUCGCUGCUGCGCAGCGUUAACUUUGAUCAUUUGGCGCUUCUAAACACAUCCAUAGAUGUAGGACUUUGCUGCUUUUCCUCUGUCGGGGUCACGGAGCGUGUUCUAUACAAAGAUUAAAACCUAAAGGAAAAAAAAAAAAAAGACAUAAAAAAGGGCUUCACUUAAAAUAAACAGAAAGAAGAUGAAACAGAGAAAAAGCCGUCUUUGAGAAAUGCUGCUCUCGCAUGCAGGAGCUGAAAAACCCAUUUUAUCUCCAUGGCCACAUUCGGCGUCACUUUACUUUCACACAAUAUGUUUCUUCUCUACCACGCAUUCAAAAAAACCCCCGGUUCCUUGGAUUCCUCUGAAACGUUUCCUUGCAUCAUAAAGGAGCUCAGACCCACCGCGGGUGUGUUUACACUCCCGGAUCAGAACAAGUAAAUAAAGGAAAGGGGUUUGGUAGUGAGGCUUGAGUAGCUUCAGGUAGCUCCGGCAGGUGGAAGCCAUGGGGAAAACACCAUCAUCUGCUGCCCUGCUCAGUGCUGGGGCACAGGGGUGCUGGUUCUUGCAGCGUUUAGGUGCCCAGUACAGCAGGUGCCCUCUCAACCAGCACCAGGAGCACCGGCUUGCUCAGCACAAGGAAUGCGAUCUGGACCAGGUUCAAGUGUGCCAUCACCUUUCUGGUGUUAUCCCGAAGUCGGAUGGAAAAAAAGCCUGGAAGAAGCGAGAUGGAGCCGAAGCGGCAGCUGGAAAGUAUGGAAGAGAUGUUUCUGCUUUCCUGGGGCGCCUUUACCCUGAGCUGCAGUCAGAAACAUGCUUUGGGGAAAAAAUGCUGAACUCUUGACUGCUGUUAAUAGCCAUGGGCAGGAUAAUGGCUGUGAGAAGGGUGUGCUUCCUGCUGGGACAGGGACAGAAUGAAGCGCAGUUCACUGGAACUGCGGUCACUGACACGGGCUCAGAAGUUCCUUAUCUCUCCCGGCUGUAAUGGGGCUGGGGGAGAGGUGAGACACAUAGGGCAGAGAGGUUGUGAGAAACUGAGCAAGACCCCAAAGGAUAGCGUGAAAAGAAAGAGCCAAGUAAAUGCAAUCCUCGGUUCCAAUCAGGAAAGUUAGGAAAUGAGAUCUGAAACACCCUCCUGGGAGUCUGGUGUGUGCUGAAGAAGCACGCUGAAAGAAAUUCUCAUGCAAGCCGUGUCACUGUGAUUGUCAAAGAAACUGAGCCCUCACUCCUUUCUUUUGUGGCAAUUUUCUUUCAGACAGCUCCUGUCUUUUUUUUUUUUUUUCCUUUCCCCCCAUAAUAGAAAUGGAUAUCCUCACAUUAUUCACUGUUUGCUCUUUUACUGAAAUUAUGGGAUGUGGGGCUUGUUCUGAGGGAUAGUUUGGAAAGGUCCCUGUUUGUCUGAUUUGCCUGGUAAUAAAGUCCAAAGCAGACUCUGUCUUCCUAAAGCACAAGCUAAGUGAGGAAAGAAGCUGCAGAGGACAGGUCUGGAGUCCCUGAGGAGCUGUCAAGGCAGAGGAGAAUUCACAAAUGCAGGUGAAGAGGCUGUGCUUCUCAUAAACAAAGAGCAAGCCGUGCUUCUCAGGUGGAGAUGAUUGCCUCUAGAUUAAGGAGGGCUGCAAAUGAAGAAUAAAAGUUCAUUGCUGUGAGCGAGAGAGGGCAUCUUGUAUUGCUUCCCAGUGCUACUGGCUUCUCAAAUAGGCUGGCAGGCUUGAACCAAAGAGGUGCGCUGCUGGAAAACAGGGGCAGGGAAAGGGGAGCGUGAGCACUUUUGACUCAGCUGUCAUAAUCCCCCUUGCCUGAGCACCUGGAUGGUGUCCACAGGUUUUCUCUGGUUCCAAAAACCAUGCCGAAAGUAUAGUUUAUGGAAAUGUUUGCGGUUUGAUUUAUCUGAGCCACCUGCUAGGAAGCAGACUGCGGAGCAGCAGCAGCAGCACAAGUUAACGGCUGUGUUCCUUCAGGCUGCCUUGUGGCUCCCUUGAUCUCGUGCUCUGCUUUCCCAAAGUUUUGCUGUGAGACCACCAGCGAGGCCCACUGCAAGGAUCUCUGCUGCUGUGAUGGGAUGUGGGGCACAGACUUGCUCUGACCUAUGCACAGGCUGUAUGAUGGGUAAAGCACUGUUUUGCUCUGAAAACCUAUAUAUUUAUUUUAACUCCUGCAGUACUGAUGAGAUAACACAACUCUG